GUGCCCCCUUCAGCAGCACAUAUUCUAAAAUUGGAAUGACACAGAGAUUAACAUGGCCCCUGCACAAAGAUGACAUGCAAAUUCAUAAAGUGUUCCACAUUUUU
Mus pahari (shrew mouse) is the source of this 104-nucleotide small nuclear RNA. NCBI's taxonomy places the organism in Eukaryota, Metazoa, Chordata, Mammalia, Rodentia, Muridae. The record is from RefSeq and is a predicted model, not a curated record.